AUUGAACGCUGGCGGCAGGCCUAACACAUGCAAGUCGAGCGGCAGCGGAAAGUAGCUUGCUACUUUGCCGGCGAGCGGCGGACGGGUGAGUAAUGUCUGGGAAACUGCCUGAUGGAGGGGGAUAACUACUGGAAACGGUAGCUAAUACCGCAUAAUGUCGCAAGACCAAAGAGGGGGACCUUCGGGCCUCUUGCCAUCAGAUGUGCCCAGAUGGGAUUAGCUAGUAGGUGGGGUAACGGCUCACCUAGGCGACAAUCCCUAGCUGGUCUGGGAGGAUGACCAGCCACACUGGAACUGAGACACGGUCCAGACUCCUACGGGAGGCAGCAGUGGGGAAUAUUGCACAAUGGGCGCAAGCCUGAUGCAGCCAUGCCGCGUGUAUGAAGAAGGCCUUCGGGUUGUAAAGUACUUUCAGCGGGGAGGAAGGUGUUGAGGUUAAUAACCUCAGCAAUUGACGUUACCCGCAGAAGAAGCACCGGCUAACUCCGUGCCAGCCGCCGCCGUAA
RNAcentral lists this ribosomal RNA (506 nucleotides) under uncultured bacterium. Its description in RNAcentral is "partial 16S ribosomal RNA". It matches the Rfam family "Bacterial small subunit ribosomal RNA", at positions 30 to 523 of the family's 1533-position model. The record is from RNAcentral.